Euleptes europaea (tarantolino) is the source of this 164-nucleotide small nuclear RNA. RefSeq annotates it as U1 spliceosomal RNA. The record is from RefSeq and is a predicted model, not a curated record. Lineage: Eukaryota; Metazoa; Chordata; Lepidosauria; Squamata; Sphaerodactylidae. The transcript has a single exon.
AUACUUACAUGGCAGGGGAGACACCAUGAUCAUGAAGGUGGUUUUCCCAGGGUGAGGCUCAUCCAUUACACUCCGGGUGUGCUGACCGCUGCAAUUUCCCCAAAUGCAGGUAACUCAACUGCAUAAUUUGUGGUAUUGUAUUUUUGUAAGGUGAUUCGAGUACC